Molecule: ribosomal RNA, 506 nt
Filed under: uncultured bacterium
Lineage: Bacteria
Description: partial 16S ribosomal RNA
Rfam family: Bacterial small subunit ribosomal RNA
Source: RNAcentral
GACGAACGCUGGCGGCGUGCCUAAUACAUGCAAGUCGAACGCAUUUUCUUUCACCGUAGCUUGCUACACCGAAAGAAAAUGAGUGGCGAACGGGUGAGUAACACGUGGGUAACCUGCCCAUCAGCGGGGGAUAACACUUGGAAACAGGUGCUAAUACCGCAUAAUUCCAUUUACCGCAUGGUAAAUGGAUGAAAGGCGCUUUUGCGUCACUGAUGGAUGGACCCGCGGUGCAUUAGCUAGUUGGUGGGGUAACGGCCUACCAAGGCUGCGAUGCAUAGCCGACCUGAGAGGGUGAUCGGCCACACUGGGACUGAGACACGGCCCAGACUCCUACGGGAGGCAGCAGUAGGGAAUCUUCGGCAAUGGACGCAAGUCUGACCGAGCAACGCCGCGUGAUUGAAGAAGGUUUUCGGAUCGUAAAACUCUGUUGUUAGAGAAGAACAAGGAUGAGAGUGGAAAGUUCAUCCCUUGACGGUAUCUAACCAGAAAGCCACGGCUAACUACGU